AAAUGGAGAUCAGAGAGCUGAACCACCCAGAUUAUGGAAACUGGCCACCUUUCAUAUCCAUGAUAGCUCUUGAAUUGGGUUUUUCUCCUUCAAUACUUUUAUGGGUUUGGACAGAAUCAUAGUUAUUUGCAGAGGGAACUGAGAAGCGGAGGAGAAUGAGGAGAAAACCCAUUUUCGACUUCCCAUUGCAUCUCAA
This is a long non-coding RNA of Telopea speciosissima, 196 nucleotides long. RefSeq lists it as uncharacterized. NCBI's taxonomy places the organism in Eukaryota, Viridiplantae, Streptophyta, Magnoliopsida, Proteales, Proteaceae. The transcript has 3 exons. The record is from RefSeq and is a predicted model, not a curated record.